AGUUCGAUUCUGGCUCAGAUUGAACGCUGGCGGGAUGCUUUACACAUGCAAGUCGAACGGCAGCACGGACUUCGGUCUGGUGGCGAGUGGCGAACGGGUGAGUAAUGUAUCGGAACGUGCCUAGUAGCGGGGAUCCGCGCGAAAGCGUAGCUAAUACCGCAUACGCCCUUCGGGGAAAGCUAAAAUCUUUCGGCCUCGCACUAUUAGAGCGGCCGAUAUCGGAUUAGCUAGUUGGUGGGGUAACGGCUCACCAAGGCGACGAUCCGUAGCUGGUUUGAGAGGACGACCAGCCACACUGGGACUGAGACACGGCCCAGACUCCUACGGAGGCAGCAGUGGGGAAUUUUGACAAUGGGGAAACCCUGAUCCAGCCAUCCUGUAAGGCAAGAAGAAGGCCUUCGGGUUGUAAAGCACUUUUGGCAGGAAGAAACGGCACGGAUAAUACCCUCGUGCAACUGACGGUACCUGCAGACAGCACUUGGCGAAUCUACGCAAAGCAGCAGUCGCGGUAAUACGUAGGGUGCAAGCGUUAAUCGGAAUUACUGGGCGUAAAAGCGCGUGCAGUGCUCCGAAAGAAAGAUGUGAAAUCCCAGAGCUAAUCUUGGAACUGCAUUUUAACUACCGGAGCCAGAUGCGUCGAGGGAGUGGAAUUCGUGUGUAGCAGUGAAAUGCGUAGAUAUGCGGAGGAACACCGAUGGCGAAGGCAUUCUGGGAUAACACUGACGCUCAUGCACGAAAGCGUGGAGCUAAACAGGAUUAGAUACCCCUGGUAGUCCAAUGCUCCCAAACGAUGUCAACUAGCUGUUAGCCUUUCGGCCUUGCAGAAGAAGCAAGGCUGACCGCCUGGGGAGUACGGUCGCAAGAUUAAAACUCAAAGUGACUGAUGGGACCGCAACAGCGGGUGGAUGAAGGGGAGAUUUAACUGAUGCAACGCGAAAAACCUUACCUACCCUUGACAUGUCUGGAAUCCCGAAGAGAUUUGGGAGUGCUCGCAAGAGAACCGAACACAGGCACAUGGCUGUCGUCAGCUCGUGUCGUGAGAUGUUGGGUUAAGUCCCGCAACGAGCGCAACCUCUUGUCAUUAGUUGCUACGAAAGGGCACCGACGAGACUGCCGGUGACAAACCGGAGGAAGGUGGGGAUGACGUCAAGUCCUCAAGUGGCCCUUAUGGUAGGGCUUCACACGUCAUACAAUGGUCGGGACAGAGGGUCGUCAACCCGAAAGUGAGGGAGCUAAUCCUGCAAACCCGAUCGUAGUCCGGAUCGCAGUCUGCAACUCGACUGCGUGAAGUCGGAAUCGCUAGUAAUCGUGAUCAGCAUGUCGCGGUGAAUACGUUCCCGGGUCUUGUACACACUGCCCGUCACACCAUGGGAGUGGGUUUUACCAGAAGUAGUUAGCCUAACCGUAAGGAGGGCGAUUACCACGGUAGGAUUCAUGACUGGUGAAGUCGUACCGUAA
Molecule: ribosomal RNA, 1458 nt
Filed under: uncultured Bordetella sp.
Lineage: Bacteria; Pseudomonadati; Pseudomonadota; Betaproteobacteria; Burkholderiales; Alcaligenaceae
Description: partial 16S-23S ribosomal RNA intergenic spacer
Rfam family: Bacterial small subunit ribosomal RNA
Source: RNAcentral